RNAcentral lists this long non-coding RNA (1846 nucleotides) under Heterocephalus glaber (naked mole-rat). RNAcentral describes it as "lncRNA (ENSHGLG00100038211.1)". The record is from RNAcentral. Lineage: Eukaryota; Metazoa; Chordata; Mammalia; Rodentia; Bathyergidae.
CAGAGGUGUCGUCCCGCCGCCUCCGUGCUCCUGCGGUGCCAGAGUUCGGGACGCAGGGCCUGCCCUGCCCCAGCCACCCAGACCUGGGGGAGAGGGGAUUGCAACCCAAACUCCAGCUCUGCCUCUAGUAGACGAUGGAACAAAACAAGACGAAAUGACACAGCUAAUUUUAAAAAGAAAUAAAGAAGUUUAAGGCCCAGGAUUUCAGAAAAUUUUGGAAGUGGGCCAGGGGCGGAGCUCUCUGGACGUCGGGGACGCAGCCUUUGCAGCACUGGACGCCUGUAUGAAACUGCCGAUCCCUCGCCAGGACUUAGCUCUGCCCACCCGGUGGAAGAAAGUUAGCAACAGUGGGAGCAAAGCUGCUGACUCUGAGAACUGCAGACUAGGUGCUGGGGACUGGCGUCAUCGGCAGUGGCUCUGGACCUGGAGCAGCACCCCUAGGCCAUCAGUCACUGCCCCAAAGCUGCAGUCACCUCGGAGGAUUCCAGGAACAGAAGACCCUCAAGGACGCCCAAGAUGGGGUUACCCUCCCUGAGUGGCCACGCCAGGAGGGUGCUGAGGCUGUCCAGAGCAGGAGCCGUUGGUCAUCCGGGCUAGUAGAUACCCCCAGAGGACCAGCCCAAGCGCUGCAGCUGGGGUCACCACAGCUCCCCCGAGAUGAGUGAUUAUGCACCCUCCUGUCCCUGUGCCCAGCCCCCUCCUCAUGGAAACCGGAAGCUCACCCCAGUAUCCCUGAAGAGAGGGCGACAACUCCCAGCUCCCACCCUCCGCCCAGGGUAGCUGCACUGAUUAAAUUCCCUUCCUGCUUCACAGCUAUUCUUUCUGUCUGCUCUUGGGGGUAAGUGGCCAGAUCUGAUUUGCUGGGACCCCGAGUCUGGCCCAGGACUCAGGUAACGAGAUCACGUACCACACCAUGCAGAACAGGGCAAGGAAGGCGUCCACGGCUUAGCAAGGACACUGCCUGGUGCACACACGUGGGUGACAUUUGAUCACUGAGUUCCCCCAACUUGGUUGUGAGUCUCGCUAAGGUUCCCUUCAAGGCCAUCGUGACAUCUCCUGAGGAGCGGAGGGGGGACACCCACGCCCGCACUCGCCUGGGGGCUGGAGCAGGCUGCCCUCCAAGGAGAAGACAGCACUACUCCCAGACUCCUGCGAAGCAACAGCCAGGCUCCCCACAGGAUCAUGUGUACACUGUGACAGUAAUAGCGGAUUGGCCAGCAAACAUACAAUUAUUGUAAAUAUAAAUGAAGUGAAGUAGCAGAGAGUCAGCUUUGCCCACUGUGUACUGAAAGCCGAAGUUGGCCGGGGCGCCCCAGUUCCCAGCGUCCUGCACCCGGCGGAGGGCUGGUCCUGCGGUCCGUGGACCCUCCGAGCAGGUCACUCCAAGCCUGAGCGGAGUGUAGGCGUGUGCUCAGCCGUGUUCAGUGCUGCGUGCAGCUAACUCCUGUGGAGCGUGAAAAAGGCUAUUGAGCUGAAGUCGAGAGGAGUCAAGAUGCUGCCCAGCAAGGACAGUAGCCACAAGAACUCUGUCUAAUAUCAAGAUUAGCCACAGCAGGUCUUGAAGUGUGGCUCUGGAAAUGCAGCGGAAGACACAUCCCCCUACAAGUGUGAAGGUCUCGUGUUUAAGACCCAUUCUGCUUGGGUUACCUCCGAGCUCCUCGAUUUAAUCUCUGUCUGUGGUUAUGAACACCACUUCACAUCUCCAUACCAAAGAUACCUCAGCUGGCAUCCUAUGUGACGAGAUUGUUGGGAAGAUGUAGAAUCCAUAAGAAGUGACGGAAUAUACAUUAUCUUACUAAUGUUUUCUCUUGAGAUGGAAGAAAUCAAGCCAUUUGGUGUAUACUUC